This 308-nucleotide unclassified non-coding RNA is filed under the name Hevea brasiliensis (rubber tree). Lineage: Eukaryota; Viridiplantae; Streptophyta; Magnoliopsida; Malpighiales; Euphorbiaceae. The record is from RNAcentral.
UAAGCUGAUAGCUGGAUCAAGUGAAGGCGGUGCAGCUGUAUUCAAGCUGGAUUACAAGGGGCAGUCUGCAUGUUUAGCCCAGUCGCCUCAACUCUAUAAACAAAUGGCAAUAUGUGGUGGUUUUGGGCGAGUGUUUGAAGUGGGUUCAGUCUUCAGAGCUGAAGAUUCCUACACACACAGGCAUCUGUGUGAGUUUAUUGGCCUUGAUGUUGAGAUGGAGAUUAAAGAGCAUUACUUUGAGGUGAUGGAUAUCGUGGACCAUCUAUUUGUUGAAAUGUUUGACUACCUGAACGACAACUGCAAUGAGG